Molecule: ribosomal RNA, 253 nt
Filed under: uncultured bacterium
Lineage: Bacteria
Description: partial 16S ribosomal RNA
Rfam family: Bacterial small subunit ribosomal RNA
Source: RNAcentral
AACGUAGGUGGCGAGCGUUAUCCGGAUUUACUGGGCGUAAAGCGUGUGCAGGCGGUGGUACAAGUGGUGUAUGAAAUCGCUCGGCUUAACCGGGCGGGGUUAUGCCAGACUGAACCACUAGAGUGCGAGAGAGGGGCGUGGAAUUCCGGGUGUAGUGGUGAAAUGCGUAGAGAUCCGGAGGAACCCCAGAGGCGAAGGCGGCGCCCUGGCUCGCAACUGACGCUCAGACACGACAGCAUGGGGAGCGAACGGG